RNAcentral lists this ribosomal RNA (477 nucleotides) under uncultured bacterium. Its description in RNAcentral is "partial 16S ribosomal RNA". It matches the Rfam family "Bacterial small subunit ribosomal RNA", at positions 30 to 507 of the family's 1533-position model. The record is from RNAcentral.
AUUGAACGCUGGCGGCAUGCCUUACACAUGCAAGUCGAACGGUAACAGGUUAAGCUGACGAGUGGCGAACGGGUGAGUAAUGUAUCGGAACGUGCCCAGUCGUGGGGGAUAACUGCUCGAAAGAGCAGCUAAUACCGCAUACGACCUGAGGGUGAAAGCGGGGGAUCGCAAGACCUCGCGCGAUUGGAGCGGCCGAUAUCAGAUUAGGUAGUUGGUGAGGUAAAGGCUCACCAAGCCGACGAUCUGUAGCUGGUCUGAGAGGACGACCAGCCACACUGGGACUGAGACACGGCCCAGACUCCUACGGGAGGCAGCAGUGGGGAAUUUUGGACAAUGGGCACAAGCCUGAUCCAGCCAUGCCGCGUGCGGGAAGAAGGCCUUCGGGUUGUAAACCGCUUUUGUCAGGGAAGAAAAGGUUCUGGCUAAUACCUGGGACUCAUGACGGUACCUGAAGAAUAAGCACCGGCUAACUACGUG